UAAAAUAGGGGGCGUGAAAACUAUUAAAUAAUAGUUCCCAGUGGGCAAUUACUGACUUCAGUGAAAGCACCACUAGACCCAAAACUGAACAAAAGAGAGUAGUGUAAAAGUAAGCAAUAUGAACCACUAGUAAGUAAGCAUGAAAAUUUAUUACAACAUGAUGCCAAAACUUAGCAUGAAAUUACAUAAGUAAUGAAAGACUAUUCUAACAUGAAUGUACCAAGGUAUCACUAGCAUGAUGUCCACAAGCUAAAUAGUAAAAUGUCAUUGUUUACUAUUCUAGUCAAAGUCCAAAUGGCAUGUUCUGUCACAAAGUUCCAAUCAUAUAAGACCCACCCGUAGGUUGUCUGGCCUGCGCCGUACCUAAUGGCCCCGUGGUAGUCAACAUCCCCACUCUAGGAAUGAGCCUCCCCCACGGCAUCCCAUUUCGGCGCCCAAUCUCGCACGAGCGAGCAUAUGUCGCGAUGGCUAUCUCCGGAGUGCCGGCUUAUAGGGAGCGACCCUCACAAGCAUGUGCGCAUGAGCACAAUGGCAAGCAAGCGAAAGAUCUGUCUCAAGUACCAAGUCCUCAUAUCUAAAAAUAUGGAAUAUACGUCGAAUGUCUCAAAAGCC
RNAcentral lists this long non-coding RNA (612 nucleotides) under Ananas comosus (pineapple). RNAcentral describes it as "long non-coding RNA (ACOM_LNC027812)". Lineage: Eukaryota; Viridiplantae; Streptophyta; Magnoliopsida; Poales; Bromeliaceae. The record is from RNAcentral.